Molecule: non-coding RNA, 30 nt
Filed under: Homo sapiens (human)
Lineage: Eukaryota; Metazoa; Chordata; Mammalia; Primates; Hominidae
Source: RNAcentral
ACCGUCUGUACCUUGUUAUCGUCAUUGCCA